RNAcentral lists this transfer RNA (74 nucleotides) under Haloarchaeobius sp. HME9146. RNAcentral describes it as "tRNA-Val". It matches the Rfam family "tRNA". Rfam says of the family: Transfer RNA (tRNA) molecules are approximately 80 nucleotides in length. Their secondary structure includes four short double-helical elements and three loops (D, anti-codon, and T loops). Further hydrogen bonds mediate the characteristic L-shaped molecular structure. tRNAs have two regions of fundamental functional importance: the anti-codon, which is responsible for specific mRNA codon recognition, and the 3' end, to which the tRNAs corresponding amino acid is attached (by aminoacyl-tRNA synthetases). tRNAs cope with the degeneracy of the genetic code in two manners: having more than one tRNA (with a specific anti-codon) for a particular amino acid; and 'wobble' base-pairing, i.e. permitting non-standard base-pairing at the 3rd anti-codon position. The record is from RNAcentral. Lineage: Archaea; Methanobacteriati; Methanobacteriota; Halobacteria; Halobacteriales; Halorubellaceae.
GGGCUGGUGGUCUAGUUGGUUAUGACAUCUCCUUUACACGGAGAAAAUCGGCGGUUCGAAUCCGCCCCAGCCCA